Molecule: long non-coding RNA, 429 nt
Organism: Notolabrus celidotus (New Zealand spotty)
Lineage: Eukaryota; Metazoa; Chordata; Actinopteri; Labriformes; Labridae
Exons: 3
Source: RefSeq, a predicted model, not a curated record
CCCCCUGAUGCCAGUUUUCUCGGUUUGCAUAUACUCACCAACAUCACACAGACUGCCCUCCCAGCCGUCUGGGCAGAAACACUGGAAGGAGUUGAUACCAUCUAUGCAUGUGCCUCCGUUCUUACAGGGUGAUGACGCACAGUCGUUUAUAUCUGCAGGCAAAGAGAGGAGACACACAAAUGGAUUUCCUUUUUGAGUUUUUCCCCCUCUGCUCAGACUAAACUAAGAGAGUGAUGAUUGGUGAAACUUGAGUCUGCAUUACCUAGGUGCCAGUGAAUCCUGGCUCACAGGAGCAGCUGAAGUUCCCGGCAGGAAGGCUGAUGCAACGACCGUGGGGGCCGCACACAUUGGAAGAGAUGUGCCACACCCGCUUUUGGGUGUCGUUAGUUGCCACAGCAACUGUGCAACUAUCAAUCACUUAGGGGGGAA